RNAcentral lists this ribosomal RNA (582 nucleotides) under uncultured bacterium. RNAcentral describes it as "bacterial SSU rRNA". It matches the Rfam family "Bacterial small subunit ribosomal RNA", at positions 8 to 605 of the family's 1533-position model. The record is from RNAcentral.
AGAGUUUGAUCCUGGCUCAGGAUGAACGCUGGCGGCGUGCUUAACACAUGCAAGUCGAGCGAUGAAGUUUCCUUCGGGAAACGGAUUAGCGGCGGACGGGUGAGUAACACGUGGGUAACCUGCCUCAUAGAGUGGAAUAGCCUUCCGAAAGGAAGAUUAAUACCGCAUAAUGUUGAAAGAUGGCAUCAUCAUUCAACCAAAGGAGCAAUCCGCUAUGAGAUGGACCCGCGGCGCAUUAGCUAGUUGGUGGGGUAACGGCCUACCAAGGCGACGAUGCGUAGCCGACCUGAGAGGGUGAUCGGCCACAUUGGGACUGAGACACGGCCCAGACUCCUACGGGAGGCAGCAGUGGGGAAUAUUGCACAAUGGGCGAAAGCCUGAUGCAGCAACGCCGCGUGAGUGAUGACGGCCUUCGGGUUGUAAAACUCUGUCUUCAGGGACGAUAAUGACGGUACCUGAGGAGGAAGCCACGGCUAACUACGUGCCAGCAGCCGCGGUAAUACGUAGGUGGCAAGCGUUGUCCGGAUUUACUGGGCGUAAAGGGAGCGUAGGCGGAUGUUUAAGUGGGAUGUGAAAUACUCG